CGUCUAGUACAUGCCGAAUAAGGCGAAACCGCGAAUGGCUCAUUAAAUCAGUUAUGGUUCCUUAGAUCGUUUCUUCCUACUUGGAUAACUGUGGCAAUUCUAGAGCUAAUACAUGCAGUGAGCCUGGAGCCCUUUGGGUAACGGGUGCUUUUAUUAGACCAAGAUCGAUCGGGUUUCGGCCCGUAUUGUGUGGUGACUCUGGAUAACUUUGUGCUGAUCGCAUGGCCACGAGCCGGCGACGUUUCUUUCAAGUGUCUGCCUUAUCAACUUUCGAUGGUAGGUUACUUGCUUACCAUGGUUGUUACGGGUAACGGAGAAUCAGGGUUCGAUUCCGGAGAGGGAGCCUGAGAAACGGCUACCACAUCCAAGGAAGGCAGCAGGCGCGCAAAUUACCCACUCCCGGCACGGGGAGGUAGUGACGAAAAAUAACAAUACGGGACUCUUUUGAGGCCCCGUAAUUGAAAUGAGUACACUCUAAAUCCUUUAACGAGGAUCAAUUGGAGGGCAAGUCUGGCCCCCGGCAGCCA
RNAcentral lists this ribosomal RNA (527 nucleotides) under Rhipicephalus evertsi evertsi. RNAcentral's name for it is "SSU rRNA". It matches the Rfam family "Eukaryotic small subunit ribosomal RNA", at positions 56 to 576 of the family's 1831-position model. Lineage: Eukaryota; Metazoa; Arthropoda; Arachnida; Ixodida; Ixodidae. The record is from RNAcentral.